UACAGAGGUCCCGAGCGUUGUUCGGAUUCACUGGGCGUAAAGGGUGCGUAGGUGGUCGGGUAAGUCUGAGGUGAAAUCUCCGAGCCCAACUCGGAAACUGCCUUGGAUACUAUUCGGCUAGAGGGUUGGAGGGGGGACUGGAAUUCUCGGUGUAGCAGUGAAAUGCGUAGAUAUCGAGAGGAACACCGGUGGCGAAGGCGGGUCUCUGGGCCGAUACUGACGCUGAGGAGCGAAAGCGUGGGGAGCGAACAGG
This 253-nucleotide ribosomal RNA is filed under the name uncultured bacterium. Its description in RNAcentral is "partial 16S ribosomal RNA". It matches the Rfam family "Bacterial small subunit ribosomal RNA", at positions 524 to 776 of the family's 1533-position model. The record is from RNAcentral.